Molecule: ribosomal RNA, 469 nt
Filed under: uncultured bacterium
Lineage: Bacteria
Description: partial 16S ribosomal RNA
Rfam family: Bacterial small subunit ribosomal RNA
Source: RNAcentral
GACGAACGCUGGCGGCGUGCUUAACACAUGCAAGUCGAACGGAAAGGCCCUGCUUGCAGGGUGCUCGAGUGGCGAACGGGUGAGUAACACGUGGGUGAUCUGCCCCUUACUUUGGGAUAAGCCUGGGAAACUGGGUCUAAUACUGGAUAGGACCAUGCUGUAGGUGGUGUGGUGGAAAGAUUAGUUUCGGUAAGGGAUGAGCUCGCGGCCUAUCAGCUUGUUGGUGGGGUACUGGCCUACCAAGGCGUCGACGGGUAGCCGGCCUGAGAGGGUGGACGGCCCCAUUGGGACUGAGAUACGGCCCAGACUCCUACGGGAGGCCGCAGUGGGGAAUAUUGCACAAUGGGCGCAAGCCUGAUGCAGCGACGCCGCGUGGGGGAUGACGGCCUUCGGGUUGUAAACUCCUUUCAGCCAUGACGAAGCCCUUGUGGUGACGGUAGUGGUAGAAGAAGCACCGGCUAACUACGUG